RNAcentral lists this ribosomal RNA (495 nucleotides) under uncultured bacterium. RNAcentral's name for it is "bacterial SSU rRNA". It matches the Rfam family "Bacterial small subunit ribosomal RNA", at positions 903 to 1397 of the family's 1533-position model. The record is from RNAcentral.
AAAGGAAUUGACGGGGGCCCGCACAAGCGGUGGAGCAUGUGGUUUAAUUCGACGCAACGCGAAGAACCUUACCAAGGCUUGACAUGGAAGCGACAGGCAUAGAGAUAUGCCAUCCCCUUUGGGGCGCUUCACACAGGUGGUGCAUGGUUGUCGUCAGCUCGUGUCGUGAGAUGUUGGGUUAAGUCCCGCAACGAGCGCAACCCUUAUGUUUAGUAGCCAACAGGUAAAGCUGGGCACACUAGAGAGACUGCCGUGGAGAACACGGAGGAAGGUGGGGACGACGUCAAAUCAUCAUGCCCCUUAUGUCUUGGGCUACACACGUGCUACAAUGGGUGCUACAAAGUGAAGCAAGAGCGUGAGCUGGAGCAAAACACAAAAAGCAUCCUCAGUUCGGAUUGCAGUCUGCAACUCGAGUGCAUGAAGUUGGAAUCGCUAGUAAUCGCGAAUCAGCAUGUCGCGGUGAAUACGUUCCCGGGCCUUGUACACACCGCCCGU